GUAACAAUACUCACCAUAAAGGCAAAAAUCCAAGAAAGUUCCACAACAUAGAUAGCUGACAAACUGACUCAAAAAAAAAGAAAAAUAAAAGAAAGAAAAGAAACAGAACCAGAAAAAUGAAGGAGCUACUAUUUGUCAGUAGCAGCAUCAUCUCCAGUAUGUGGUGGUGAACGGGAAUGUGGGCAAGCUGGUUGAACGCAGCCACAUCGAGAGAGAGUAGCUAUGGAAUUUCAGAUGCUCUGAAAGCUCUCAGCCACAUACCUCUGAAACACAUCGGUCUCCAUGGGGAUCGCAGGAUUCGCAGGAAGGCCGAAUGCUAAAGAUGAAAAAGUGUGAGUAUGUGCCGACAAACCGCUGGCAGAAACAAGUACUGAAUCGUCCUCAGCAGCAGAAGCUGGAGCUCCAGAAGAUGCAUCACAUAUGAACCAAGGCUGAGGAUCAACAUCAUGAGCAUUGAAUGCCUCGACAUGAGCACACAACGGAAACCCCACCCUUUGUCGAUCCGCUGGUGAUACAGGCGCAGUUUGUGGUGGUGGGUUAGAGCUUGAUGUUUCGUCUGUGCGCUUCCUCUUAGCUUGAUACAUCUGCAGUCAAUGACAAAAGCAACAAAGAAGUAUCCAAAAAUCAAAAUCCAAAAUUAACAAGUUCAAGGACUAAACACCACUAGCAACAAUCACCAGCAUCACAGUCAUCAACAAUCCGCCCUAAAUCAGUUCAAAAACCGUUCCAAAAUCUGAUUUUUGGACCAAUUUUGCCACCCAAAAUAAAAAUUUCCAAAACCUGCAAACAGGCCAUAGAAAGUAAAUGGGGAUGUUUAAAAUCCUCUAUAACAACCUACAAAGGCAUGAAUCAAUCAUUAAAACAAGUUCCAAGAGAUAAAAUCGACAUUCCAAACUUUGUGUACUGAAAUCGAAAAGAGGGAUGUUCGAGUUGCAUACCUUGCAGAUCGGAAAAAUUGAUGGAAGAAAUAGAAUCAGUAUAAAAAUUUAAUGAGGUUAGGCCUUGAAAUCACUAAAAUCCGUGAAGAAUUGAGGGAUUUGAGAUUUUGGGCUUGAGUUCUUCGUGUGUGUCG
Molecule: long non-coding RNA, 1072 nt
Filed under: Eutrema salsugineum
Lineage: Eukaryota; Viridiplantae; Streptophyta; Magnoliopsida; Brassicales; Brassicaceae
Description: long non-coding RNA (ESAL_LNC001908)
Source: RNAcentral